AUUGAACGCUGGCGGCAUGCCUUACACAUGCAAGUCGAACGGUAACAGGUCUUCGGAUGCUGACGAGUGGCGAACGGGUGAGUAAUACAUCGGAACGUGCCCGAUCGUGGGGGAUAACGGAGCGAAAGCUUUGCUAAUACCGCAUACGAUCUACGGAUGAAAGCAGGGGACCGCAAGGCCCUGCGCGGACGGAGCGGCCGAUGGCAGAUUAGGUAGUUGGUGGGAUAAAAGCUUACCAAGCCGACGAUCUGUAGCUGGUCUGAGAGGACGACCAGCCACACUGGGACUGAGACACGGCCCAGACUCCUACGGGAGGCAGCAGUGGGGAAUUUUGGACAAUGGGCGAAAGCCUGAUCCAGCCAUGCCGCGUGCAGGAUGAAGGCCUUCGGGUUGUAAACUGCUUUUGUACGGAACGAAAAGACUCUUUCUAAUAAAGAGGGUCCAUGACGGUACCGUAAGAAUAAGCACCGGCUAACUACGUG
This 482-nucleotide ribosomal RNA is filed under the name uncultured bacterium. RNAcentral describes it as "partial 16S ribosomal RNA". It matches the Rfam family "Bacterial small subunit ribosomal RNA", at positions 30 to 507 of the family's 1533-position model. The record is from RNAcentral.